UACGAAGGGGGCUAGCGUUGCUCGGAAUCACUGGGCGUAAAGCGCACGUAGGCGGAUUGCUAAGUCAGGGGUGAAAUCCUGGAGCUCAACUCCAAAACUGCCUUUGAUACUGGCGACCUUGAGUCCGGGAGAGGUGAGUGGAACUGCGAGUGUAGAGGUGAAAUUCGUAGAUAUUCGCAAGAACACCAGUGGCGAAGGCGGCUCACUGGCCCGGUACUGACGCUGAGGUGCGAAAGCGUGGGGAGCAAACAGG
Molecule: ribosomal RNA, 253 nt
Filed under: uncultured bacterium
Lineage: Bacteria
Description: partial 16S ribosomal RNA
Rfam family: Bacterial small subunit ribosomal RNA
Source: RNAcentral